CCUCUCCUCUCACAUGCCCCUUAGCCUCCAUGCCCAAAGGUGUUGGGCAUCCAUCAUCUAAAGAAGCCCAAUUGUUGGGCCAUUCCAAUUUAUGCUAGAGAAAGAAAAAGAAGACUGCCAAUCUAGUAGAGACUGCGCUACAAUCAAGAGUUGAUCGUAAUUCAAAAAUUCAGAUCGAGAGCAUGUGGAGAUCCUCUUAGAGAAG
RNAcentral lists this long non-coding RNA (205 nucleotides) under Elaeis guineensis (African oil palm). Its description in RNAcentral is "long non-coding RNA (EGUI_LNC031380)". The record is from RNAcentral. Lineage: Eukaryota; Viridiplantae; Streptophyta; Magnoliopsida; Arecales; Arecaceae.